ACACUGUAAACGAUGAUAACUCGCUGUUGGCGAUAUACGGUCAGUGGCCAAGCGAAAGCGAUAAGUUAUCCACCUGGGGAGUACGUCGGCAACGAUGAAACUCAAAGGAAUUGACGGGGGCCCGCACAAGCGGAGGAACAUGUGGUUUAAUUCGAUGAUACGCGAGGAACCUUACCCGGGCUCGAACGGUACAGGAAUGGGGUAGAGAUAUUCCAGCCCUUCGGGGCCUGUAUCGAGGUGCUGCAUGGUUGUCGUCAGCUCGUGCCGUGAGGUGUCGGCUUAAGUGCCAUAACGAGCGCAACCCUUGUUGUCAGUUACCAGCAAUUCGGAUGGGGACUCUGGCAAGACUGCCACCGUAAGGUGAGAGGAAGGGGGGGAUGACGUCAAAUCAGCACGGCCCUUACGUCCGGGGCGACACACGUGUUACAAUGGUGAGUACAGAGGGCAGCUACCUGGCGACAGGGUGCAAAUCUCGAAAACUCAUCUCAGUUCGGAUUGGAGUCUGCAACUCGACUCCAUGAAGUUGGAUUCGCUAGUAAUCGCGCAUCAGCCAUGGCGCGGUGAAUACGUUCCCGGGCCUUGUACACACCGCCCGUCAAGCCAUGAAAGCCGGGGGUGCUUGAAGUUCGUGACCGGAAGGAGCGACCUAGGGCAAAACUGGUAAUUGGGGCU
Molecule: ribosomal RNA, 672 nt
Filed under: uncultured equine intestinal eubacterium sp. DW02
Lineage: Bacteria
Description: bacterial SSU rRNA
Rfam family: Bacterial small subunit ribosomal RNA
Source: RNAcentral